Molecule: transfer RNA, 74 nt
Filed under: Kopsia fruticosa
Lineage: Eukaryota; Viridiplantae; Streptophyta; Magnoliopsida; Gentianales; Apocynaceae
Also listed under: 24 other names
Description: tRNA-His
Rfam family: tRNA
About the family: Transfer RNA (tRNA) molecules are approximately 80 nucleotides in length. Their secondary structure includes four short double-helical elements and three loops (D, anti-codon, and T loops).
Source: RNAcentral
GCGGAUGUAGCCAAGUGGAUCAAGGCAGUGGAUUGUGAAUUCACCAUGCGCGGGUUCAAUUCCCGUCGUUCGCC